RNAcentral lists this ribosomal RNA (504 nucleotides) under uncultured bacterium. Its description in RNAcentral is "bacterial SSU rRNA". It matches the Rfam family "Bacterial small subunit ribosomal RNA", at positions 1 to 505 of the family's 1533-position model. The record is from RNAcentral.
GCCCUUAGAGUUUGAUCCUGGCUCAGGAUGAACGCUGGCGGCGUGCUUAACACAUGCAAGUCGAACGAAGCUGCUUAGCUGAUCUUCUUCGGAAUUGACGUUUUGUAGACUGAGUGGCGGACGGGUGAGUAACGCGUGGGUAACCUGCCCUGUACAGGGGGAUAACAGUCAGAAAUGACUGCUAAUACCGCAUAAGACCACAGCACCGCAUGGUGCAGGGGUAAAAACUCCGGUGGUACAGGAUGGACCCGCGUCUGAUUAGCUGGUUGGUGAGGUAACGGCUCGCCAAGGCGACGAUCAGUAGCCGGCUUGAGAGAGUGAACGGCCACAUUGGGACUGAGACACGGCCCAAACUCCUACGGGAGGCAGCAGUGGGGAAUAUUGCACAAUGGGGGGAACCCUGAUGCAGCGACGCCGCGUGAGUGAAGAAGUAUCUCGGUAUGUAAAGCUCUAUCAGCAGGGAAGAAAAUGACGGUACCUGACUAAGAAGCCCCGGCAACUCUG